UUGAAAAUGCAAAUGUUUUCACCCAUUAGUGAACAUGGGCCUCGCAGUCUGUGCGAGAUAUUGUGGCAGACUCAAGGAACAAUAUGGCCCACAGAGCACAGAGGCUGAUUGAGGUUAUAAUGAGGGAUGCAUCAAGACUGGAAUGUUGGAGGGGAAGUACUUGCUUCAUAGAACACUUACAUCAUUAGUGGAACAAAAGUAGAACAAAUUCAUCCACCUAAGCAACAAUCUACAGCAGAUCUGACACCUGAAAGCAUAAGCAAACAGUGGACGUCUACCAGCAAGUUCUGGGUGCAGUUAUGUGGUGAGGGACAAGAAUUGCUUCAGAAUGACCACAUAUUUUAUGAUUGGCAGCUGCCAGCACUGGUUUUGCCUACGACAUUAUCCAUAAAUUAUUUUGAAUUGGUAAUGGACCACCAAUCCGAGGCACCCCUGCAAGAGCUUUGAGGCACCCCAGGGUGCCACGGCACACAGUUUAAGAACCACUGUUGUACAUUAUGUACAUCCUAGCUGAAUACAUCCUGCCAUCACAAUUGUGGGGCCCAGGACUGAAUUCAAAUGGGGACAUACAACAAAGAUUGAAACUGUCCAUUGAAAUAACCAAUACAUGAUGGCAGAGUUGCAAUGUUUAAAUGGAAAGCAGUCGUUCUGCAUCAAGCACAUAUGUUACAAAGACAACAUGUCACCACACACUACAAAGUAACCAUCACAGAUCUACAGUAGAGCAGGUCAUCAGAUCCCCAUGGACAAGGGUACACACAGCAUAACAAGCCCCCAGAAGCUGUAGUAAAAGUAACAUAUUUGUAGAUUACACAGAACUCCCCAGUUCUAAUUUAUGCAGCCCUUCACCACAUGUUCUCAAGUUCAUGCUCACUCCACCCCAUUUUUAUGUAUCCCCAUAGCAGAAUAUGAAUACUGCCACACUGGUAAGGUAACUCAUUCCAACAUAACACAACCUAUACCUCCAGCCAGGCUUUCACCCCAGGAGGCAUGUUCUAUAGGUCUAUGCUCCCAAGGUUCCUAAUCUGCUUUGAUUAAUAUGAUGCCUACAACACCUGAAUCACCUUCUGCACUGAGAUUGCAUACAGGUUGUAAAUUGCUUUUAGAAUUUUCCCAAGAUUAAAUACUGAAUUUACAAAGAUGUCUGCAUCUGAGUAAAUAAUCUCCCUAUUGUUACAUGUACACCAUUCUAUAUCAUUCACACAUGUUCUGUGCAUAGCUUUAUCCUCACCACCAUCACUUCUCCAUUUACGUUGCACCAAUAUACUCCCGGACAGCAUGGCACAGUUGAUCACUUAUGUUACGUUAUCAGUGAGCCACAAUAGCAGUUAGAAAGGAACAAAACCGUACACAUUUAUAUAGGCUUAGUAAAGUUCUAACAGCUCUUACAAUGAAUUAAAGCUACAGUCAUUGUCAUAACAAUAACUGACACUGAGUACAGUAUCAGCUACCCAUAUCUUCUAUGUCAGCGGUGACUCUCUGUCCCAUCUCAAUUGCAGGUAUUUUAUAUACACAAAUUUUGAUAAUUUGACUAAAACACACCAUUCAGAUACCCAGCGCCAGUGCAAGGUUUCUCGGCACCCUAGGCAAUACUUCAGCCUGCUGCCCCCAACCACCACCAAUACCCACUGCCAGUCCGUCAGAUGAAAGUGUGACCUCCACUUGCAUUAAGUACAACAAGGAUGUUUCUUUAAGAGACAUCCUUAAUUUUGUGAUAGGCAGACUCAGUAGCGCCCCCUGCCAGAUCCUGGCAACCUAGGCAGCUGCCUAAAGUUGCCUAAUGGUAGAGCAGGCCCUGUAGAAACCUAUAGAAAUCUAGGUAAGUUUAGCAGCAUGGAUCUCACUCAUGAUGUCACCUGUGACCUGCGGGAGCGAGCCUCGGAUGCCAUAUUGUGUGUACACACUAGACGAUACCAUUUGAGACCAAACAAUAUCAGCCGUAUAGCAUGUGAUAUUGCCUAAUGUGUAUGCACCCUAACAUAUAUGCUUGUAACAAUAAUCCAACAUAAGGACAAAAACUGUAAAUAACUAUAAAACUCUUGGGAUAACUGCAGAACAAGGAUCUGUUAUGUUAU
This is a long non-coding RNA of Pseudophryne corroboree (corroboree frog), 2075 nucleotides long. RefSeq lists it as uncharacterized. The transcript has 3 exons. The record is from RefSeq and is a predicted model, not a curated record. NCBI's taxonomy places the organism in Eukaryota, Metazoa, Chordata, Amphibia, Anura, Myobatrachidae.